AUGGGACCCCGGAUGACAAUUUCAGCACGGAAAAUCGAGUUGACAUAUGAUGCAAGUCGCUUUCCGUUCCGCUUUUCAGACGAAAGCGAUCUCACUUUGAGCAGCGUGCUGUGAGAAAAAAGUAAGGGGAAAAUCAGUGCAAUCAUCGUCAUGGUAGUCAUGGCGAAAAAAAGUUUAUCUGUUGACUUGUUGUACUGCCAUGGUUGGAUUUGAUCCGCAGUACAUCAAGUCAGAACAGCUCUAUUAAACAUGUAAACCAUUGAAGGCUUCGAAAUCUAGGACGUUUAAAGGGCACCAGUAGACGCAUCGAAUCUUGAAGCAGAAAUAGAUCCACGUACAAGUGAAAAUAUUGACGAUGAUAUCGUGUUGCCUUUGAUGAUUUCUAGGUGUUCAAGAAACAACAAGGGAUGGUGAAGAGCAAACGAUGGAGAGUGCAAGUAAUGAAUUUUGUUUUCGUUAAUUGCGGAAACUAAAUUUGAUUCUUUUUUAAUGGUAGCUGCUGAUUUAGGAUCCAGGCUAGACAAAGAAAAAGGAUUUGGAGAAAAUUUGUGAAAACGGAAUGUAUAAAUCCUCCAAGUACAAAUUAUGACUGAAGCAAUUCCAAUGUGACUAGCAGUGGAAAAGGAGUGUACGCUCUCUAAGCAGGGAUGAAUUUGCAAAUGACGCAGGAUGUAAGAACACUGCAAAACAGCACAUGUUAUGUACAUGUGGCCAGCCGGCUCUGUCACUCUAUUUACACUACAAACCAUAAAAAGCACGUGAUUUUAUUUAGCUUUUAUAGGGUUCUUUGCCGGGUGUUUUUUUUUCAAGUUUAUUAGGCAGGCCUUUAGGUUUUAGGCCUUUCUGUGAUUCAUAGGAAUGUUUUAGAAUUGUGCAUGCAGGUCAGAACUACAAAAUAUAUUACGAAUCAAUACAA
Long non-coding RNA from Anopheles merus, 916 nucleotides. RefSeq lists it as uncharacterized. NCBI's taxonomy places the organism in Eukaryota, Metazoa, Arthropoda, Insecta, Diptera, Culicidae. The transcript has 2 exons. The record is from RefSeq and is a predicted model, not a curated record.